AUGGACUAGGUUCAUUCUUUUGAUUAAAUACAUCUCAACCCUUAGAUCAAAUGUGUAAAAAUAAAUCCUAACCAUCCAUUCUCUUAUAAAUAGAGCCUAUAGCUAAAUUCACUUUCACUUGAGUUUUUACAAUCUUAGAACAAGUAAAAUUGUUUGCUCCUCCUUUCAUUUUAUUUCUUAGUUCUACUCAAAUACCAUAUAGCCUAGAUCUUUCUUGUAGUGUUCAAGCGUUUUUCUAAAACUAGCUACCUAGAGAAGAUUUGGUGGAGUUUUACUUCUAAAGGAUUAUUGGAUCUUGAUGCAGGGAUAGAAAGUGAGGACGAUGGUCCUUUUACUAGUUUUGAUGGUUGAUAGACCAUCUGCUGCAGGAUUUAUGCUUACUCUAUGGAGCAAGUCUCAUUUAUGUUAAUCGCUUUUAUUAUGUAUGGUGAUGUGUGUAAACUUAAUAGAUAUUACUAUGUUAAUUUAGGUGCCGUCUGUGGCAUAUAUUUGGUACACCUAGUGUGUACAUAUGUUGUAAUGAAAACCAUGUUUCUAUUUUAUUUAAUAAUAUAUCACCUCGAGGUAUUUCAGUCA
Non-coding RNA from Corylus avellana, 576 nucleotides. The record is from RefSeq and is a predicted model, not a curated record. NCBI's taxonomy places the organism in Eukaryota, Viridiplantae, Streptophyta, Magnoliopsida, Fagales, Betulaceae.